AGUCGUGUGAUGAGCACAUAGAGAACUAUUCUUUUGCCUUUUACUAAAGAAUACGGUGUGCCCGUCCACUAAAAGCGACAUACGCUGUUUGAAAGAGCUCUCCUAUUCGAAUUUU
Molecule: small nuclear RNA, 115 nt
Organism: Trifolium pratense (red clover)
Lineage: Eukaryota; Viridiplantae; Streptophyta; Magnoliopsida; Fabales; Fabaceae
Product: U5 spliceosomal RNA
Exons: 1
Source: RefSeq, a predicted model, not a curated record